GUGUCAGCAGCCGCGGUAAUACGUAGGUGGCAAGCGUUGUCCGGAAUUACUGGGCGUAAAGGGUGUGUAGGCGGAUAUUUAAGUGAGAUGUGAAAGACCCGGGCUUAACUUGGGCAGUGCAUUUCAAACUGGGUAUCUAGAGUACAGGAGAGGAGAAUGGAAUUCCUAGUGUAGCGGUGAAAUGCGUAGAGAUUAGGAAGAACACCAGUGGCGAAGGCGAUUCUCUGGACUGUAACUGACGCUGAGGCACGAAAGCGUGGGUAGCAAACAGGAUUAGAAACCCCCGUAGUCC
This 292-nucleotide ribosomal RNA is filed under the name uncultured bacterium. Its description in RNAcentral is "partial 16S ribosomal RNA". It matches the Rfam family "Bacterial small subunit ribosomal RNA", at positions 505 to 796 of the family's 1533-position model. The record is from RNAcentral.